Molecule: transfer-messenger RNA, 376 nt
Filed under: Clostridia bacterium
Lineage: Bacteria; Bacillati; Bacillota; Clostridia
Also listed under: 1 other name
Rfam family: transfer-messenger RNA
About the family: Bacterial tmRNA, also known as 10Sa RNA or SsrA, is named for its dual tRNA and mRNA-like properties.
Source: RNAcentral
GGGGAUGUCUUUGGUUUCGACGGGGGUGUGGAAACCGGAGAAGCGAGCCGCAGUUUGUCCGGUCUGCGUUAAAAAGGACACGUUAAAUAUAAACGCUAAAAAGAAUAACAAUUUUGCACCGAUGGCUAUGGCUGCGUAAGGCGGUCAUAAGCUGUGCAUGUCGGCUCCGGCUCACCUGUAGGCCGGAUGUCCGGCAACGACUAUACAGGAAAACUCUAUGUGAAUUCCUGGUAGCAUAGGGGAAUAACAGGAUAGCCGACGAAAAAGCCUGCUUUUGGGCGUUUUCAGAAGCGAAACUCUAAAACAAAAGCUGCGCUCGGAGAAACUCUUGUGGAAAUGCUUUCGGACGCGAGUUCGAUUCUCGCCAUCUCCACCA